This is a long non-coding RNA of Dermochelys coriacea (leatherback sea turtle), 629 nucleotides long. RefSeq lists it as uncharacterized. Lineage: Eukaryota; Metazoa; Chordata; Testudines; Dermochelyidae. The transcript has 2 exons. The record is from RefSeq and is a predicted model, not a curated record.
AUUCUGUACUUAUAUAGUAAUUUGCCAUGCAAGGAUCUCAAAACACCUUACAAAUAUUAAUGGAUUAAACCUCACCACAGCCUUCUGAGAGAAGUAUGACUGGCCUUGCUUUUCUAAUAUCCUCUGGUCCACACGGCUACAACACUGCAAACAACUAAGAUAUCGAAUGUUGCCAUCUGAAAUGGAAACUCCACAACAUGAAAGAAAAGGAAGCAAAACUUAACAGCAACUUCUACUUCCUGAGGAAAUACAAGAAACAAAACAUACAUCACCCUCAGAGGACUCACCAUCUCAGAAGUUGGUCCAGUAAAAGAUAUUACCUCACCCGCCUUGUCUCUUGCUGGUAGACAUAGGAAGCAGACACCACAGGGCCAUCCGACUAUGACUGUCCUCAUGUGCAUUGUCCAUUCUUAGCUUAUUUUCACUGGUCAUGAAUAUCAUGCAAAAAUUAACAGGAAGGUUUCUCAACUACACAGACUUUCUGUCAUUCUAACUUGUUGGUGAGACACCCUAGUUUGUGAUGAUGAAUAGCAUGGAGACAUCCUGCUACAGGUAGACAGCAACCUUGUACUGAUAAUUCUUAACAAGUGUCUGAUAAUAUUAAUAAAUAAUAUACUAGGCCUCUUUCU